AUGAUGCGCCCGCUCGAUGGUUCCACGUGCCGCCCGUCAUGGCGGUGCAUGGAGGCAAGAGGGAACAGGGUGAGGCAUCUUCGCCAAUGCCCUGGCUGCCCCCGCAACUGUAAGCGGCGAGGUCGCGUUCCACCUGUGUCACUGGAUACCCAAGUCCUUUCGAGGGCGGGCAUUCCGGGAAGACGGAACGAGGCCGAUGACCCGUGAGCCAGGAGACCUGCCACCGAGUUCGUCAUCUG
This 239-nucleotide non-coding RNA is filed under the name Parvibaculum lavamentivorans. RNAcentral also lists the same sequence under 1 other name. Lineage: Bacteria; Pseudomonadati; Pseudomonadota; Alphaproteobacteria; Hyphomicrobiales; Parvibaculaceae. The record is from RNAcentral.